UACAGAGGGUGCAAGCGUUAAUCGGAAUUACUGGGCGUAAAGCGUGCGUAGACGGUUACAUAAGUCGGGUGUGAAAGCCCCGGGCUCAACCUGGGAAUUGCAUUCGAGACUGCGUAGCUAGGGUGCGGAAGAGGGAAGCGGAAUUUCCGGUGUAGCGGUGAAAUGCGUAGAUAUCGGGAGGAACACCUGUGGCGAAAGCGGCGCACUGGACCACAUCUGACGCUGAGGCGCGAAAGCUAGGGGAGCAAACAG
RNAcentral lists this ribosomal RNA (252 nucleotides) under uncultured bacterium. RNAcentral's name for it is "partial 16S ribosomal RNA". It matches the Rfam family "Bacterial small subunit ribosomal RNA", at positions 524 to 775 of the family's 1533-position model. The record is from RNAcentral.